Long non-coding RNA from Erigeron canadensis, 631 nucleotides. RefSeq lists it as uncharacterized. The record is from RefSeq and is a predicted model, not a curated record. NCBI's taxonomy places the organism in Eukaryota, Viridiplantae, Streptophyta, Magnoliopsida, Asterales, Asteraceae. The transcript has 2 exons.
GGUAGUGGCAGUCAAAAAGGGUAAGGAUGGUGAAAUCGUUAGGCAAAUACACUAAUAAGAAGGAAACAGAUCUUGAUUUAAUCAGUGAUUCCGAUGAAGAACAAGGUGUUUGUGGAGUAUCGAAGAAUGUAGGAAAUUCCAAAUGUGAAAGUCUUGUGACUGCAGUUCCCAAAAAUACUCGAAAUGAAGUGGCAGACAACUAAAAUGAAGUCGACAGCAGGAAUUUUGUGAUGAGGCAUAUGAAAACCUACAUGACAGAUAAUGGUGCAAAGCGGGAAUGUGGAUUGGAGAUCGAAAGUAAGAUACAGAAGACAAGGUUGGCUAAGUUGCGAAAGUGUAUGCACUAAAAUCGAUGAUGUAAUAACACAAUAUCAUUCAGGAAAAGAUUUUAAUAUCUGCCUAUGAUGUGAAGAAUCGAAUAGAUCCAAAGAAGAAUUAAAUUAUGUUAGUCUAUAUAUCUUAUGUUAGUUGUUAGUUGUGUUUGCAAUUGUCAGGUGCCUUCUUUAAGGGUCACAUUUUUUUAAAGACAAUAUGUUAUUGUGUAUUCUUCUUGAUGUAUUGUUUAUUGAUCUAAUGAACUUGAUGUAAUCAGUAAUAUAGUUAAGUUCAGGAAAGCUUUAAGCUUCGAAAA